This 253-nucleotide ribosomal RNA is filed under the name uncultured bacterium. RNAcentral's name for it is "partial 16S ribosomal RNA". It matches the Rfam family "Bacterial small subunit ribosomal RNA", at positions 524 to 776 of the family's 1533-position model. The record is from RNAcentral.
UACGGGGGGGGCAAGCGUUGUUCGGAAUUACUGGGCGUAAAGGGCUCGUAGGCGGCCAACUAAGUCAGACGUGAAAUCCCCAGGCUUAACCUGGGAACUGGAUUUGUGACUGCAUAGCUAGAGUACGGCAGAGGGGGAUGGAAUUCCGCGUGUAGCAGUGAAAUGCGUAGAUAUGCGGAGGAACACCGAUGGCGAAGGCAAUCCCCUGGGCCUGUACUGACGCUCAUGCACGAAAGCGUGGGGAGCAAACAGG